GAUGAACGCUGGCGGCGUGCCUAAUACAUGCAAGUCGAGCGAACAGACGAGGAGCUUGCUCCUCUGACGUUAGCGGCGGACGGGUGAGUAACACGUGGAUAACCUACCUAUAAGACUGGGAUAACUUCGGGAAACCGGAGCUAAUACCGGAUAAUAUAUUGAACCGCAUGGUUCAAUAGUGAAAGACGGUUUUGCUGUCACUUAUAGAUGGAUCCGCGCCGCAUUAGCUAGUUGGUAAGGUAACGGCUUACCAAGGCAACGAUGCGUAGCCGACCUGAGAGGGUGAUCGGCCACACUGGAACUGAGACACGGUCCAGACUCCUACGGGAGGCAGCAGUAGGGAAUCUUACGCAAUGGGCGAAAGCUUGACGGAGCAACGCCGCGUGAGUGAUGAAGGUCUUCGGAUCGUAAAAAUCUGUUAUUAGGGAAGAACAAAUGUGUAAGUAACUAUGCACGUCUUGACGGUACCUAAUCAGAAAGCCACGGCUAACUACGUG
RNAcentral lists this ribosomal RNA (497 nucleotides) under uncultured bacterium. RNAcentral's name for it is "partial 16S ribosomal RNA". It matches the Rfam family "Bacterial small subunit ribosomal RNA", at positions 28 to 507 of the family's 1533-position model. The record is from RNAcentral.